GGGGAAUAUUGCACAAUGGAGGAAACUCUGAUGCAGCAACGCCGCGUGAGUGAUGAAGGUCUUCGGAUUGUAAAGCUCUGUCUUCUGGGACGAUAAUGACGGUACCAGAGGAGGAAGCCACGGCUAACUACGUGCCAGCAGCCGCGGUAAUACGUAGGUGGCAAGCGUUGUCCGGAAUUACUGGGCGUAAAGGGUGCGCAGGCGGACAUUUAGGUGAGAUGUGAAAGACCCGGGCUUAACUUGGGCAGUGCAUUUCAAACUGGAUGUCUGGAGUGCAGGAGAGGAGAACGGAAUUCCUAGUGUAGCGGUGAAAUGCGUAGAGAUGUGGAGGAACACCAGUGGCGAAGGCGGCUUUCUGGUCUGUAACUGACGCUGAGGCGCGAAAGCGUGGGGAGCAAAC
RNAcentral lists this ribosomal RNA (400 nucleotides) under uncultured bacterium. Its description in RNAcentral is "bacterial SSU rRNA". It matches the Rfam family "Bacterial small subunit ribosomal RNA", at positions 356 to 773 of the family's 1533-position model. The record is from RNAcentral.